GACGAACGCUGGCGGCGUGCCUAAUACAUGCAAGUCGAGCGAAGUUUUUCUGGUGCUUGCACUAGAAAAACUUAGCGGCGAACGGGUGAGUAACACGUAAAGAACCUGCCUCAUAGACUGGGACAACUAUUGGAAACGAUAGCUAAUACCGGAUAACAGUAUUUCUCGCAUGAGAGAUAUUUAAAAGUUGGUUAUGCUAACACUAUGAGAUGGCUUUGCGGUGCAUUAGCUAGUUGGUGGGGUAAAGGCCCACCAAGGCGACGAUGCAUAGCCGGCCUGAGAGGGUGAUCGGCCACACUGGGACUGAGACACGGCCCAGACUCCUACGGGAGGCAGCAGUAGGGAAUCUUCCGCAAUGGGCGAAAGCCUGACGGAGCAACGCCGCGUGAGUGGAGAAGGAUUUCGGUUCGUAAAGCUCUGUUGUUAGGGAAGAAUGGAUAUGUAGUAACUAUACAUGUAUGAGACGGUACCUAACCAGAAAGCCACGGCUAACUACGUG
This 499-nucleotide ribosomal RNA is filed under the name uncultured bacterium. RNAcentral describes it as "partial 16S ribosomal RNA". It matches the Rfam family "Bacterial small subunit ribosomal RNA", at positions 28 to 507 of the family's 1533-position model. The record is from RNAcentral.